GGACAGCAGCAACCUCAGCUAUCACUAACAAGAAAACUCAAACUCCUAGUAGUGGCAGAUGUGAAGAGUUCAGCUUACAAAGAAAAUAUGAUGAAGAAAAGGUUGUUGGAAGAUUCAGCAGGUGAGAAAAGGAUUGAGAAGCAAGAAGAAGUGAUGACGACAAAAAGAGGGACAUGGAGAGAAUGGGUAGAGAACCCUAACAAGUCAGAAUAUUUCACAAUGGAUUAUUCUUGGGUUAGAAGACGACGUCCAAUACACAACAAGCAAAUUCCGCUCAUCCCAUAAAACAUGGAGUUUGCUACCUUGUUAGUAC
Salvia splendens (bonfire salvia) is the source of this 313-nucleotide long non-coding RNA. RefSeq lists it as uncharacterized. The record is from RefSeq and is a predicted model, not a curated record. The transcript is spliced from 3 exons. NCBI's taxonomy places the organism in Eukaryota, Viridiplantae, Streptophyta, Magnoliopsida, Lamiales, Lamiaceae.